CAGGGAACAGCGUCCGACCCACGUCCCCCCCGCAGACGUCCGAGGGAUCCCACGCGCUGUUGACUAUUGACAUUUAACACGAGGAGCUUUUCAGCUCCAUCCAUGACCCUGUGAAGUCUGCAUCCGUUCGGCUGGUCCAGACUCACCGACCAGUUUCUCCUCUGUUUCUUCUCGUUCCCAUCAGCAGUCGUGAAAUCCUCGGAGGCGUCUCCGCUGCCGCCCGUCCUGUGCUCUGCCUGCUCCUGAUGUCAGCCUCCUGCUUAGACAUCCUCUCCGUGAGACAUCCUCGUUAGAUAGCUUCCUCUCUGCCUUCAGUGCUGGUGAAAGCAGCUUCACAGACGCAGGCUCCGUCGCCUCCCCAGAGGAAUCGCAGCGCUGUUUUGUAAGCAAAGGUAAAACUCUUUGCCACGCAGCUACUGCGAAAGUUUUGACAAGAAAGCAGCCGCUUUCACAAUACAUGGGUGGUGCACGCUGAUCAGAGCUCAGUCCCGUUUCUCGGGGACAGGCGUAACCGCAGACCGGUGUCACUGCAGUGACCGAGCCGUGCUGCACCGCGGCUGACCCCGCCGGCACCCGCCUCGCUCGCCAGAGCCGCUUCCUCGGGAGAGCUGCAGCCGGG
RNAcentral lists this long non-coding RNA (619 nucleotides) under Dromaius novaehollandiae (emu). Its description in RNAcentral is "lncRNA (ENSDNVG00000005261.1)". The record is from RNAcentral. Lineage: Eukaryota; Metazoa; Chordata; Aves; Casuariiformes; Dromaiidae.